AUACUUCCCUCUUCAGAUUGUAUAAAUCUUUCACUUUUUACUAAAGAUAUCCAUGAAGAUAACAGUUAAGAGUUUUUCAUUAAUUUUUUGAGGCCUAGUUUAUGUGAGUCU
Molecule: small nuclear RNA, 111 nt
Organism: Dromiciops gliroides (monito del monte)
Lineage: Eukaryota; Metazoa; Chordata; Mammalia; Microbiotheria; Microbiotheriidae
Product: U5 spliceosomal RNA
Exons: 1
Source: RefSeq, a predicted model, not a curated record